RNAcentral lists this microRNA (21 nucleotides) under Triticum aestivum (bread wheat). RNAcentral's name for it is "tae-miR5086". The record is from miRBase by way of RNAcentral. Lineage: Eukaryota; Viridiplantae; Streptophyta; Magnoliopsida; Poales; Poaceae.
ACAUUGGUGGAAGGCGUGGUA